Molecule: long non-coding RNA, 2884 nt
Organism: Cebus imitator (Panamanian white-faced capuchin)
Lineage: Eukaryota; Metazoa; Chordata; Mammalia; Primates; Cebidae
Exons: 3
Source: RefSeq, a predicted model, not a curated record
CUUGAAGCAGCAGCCUGGGGUGGUUGCUGCAGAGAGAGAGGAGAGACCGGUCCUGCCUUUGAGUCCAACGUCCAGUCCGAAGCUAAGAUUGAGCUACUGACCAAAGGGCAGGUGUGCCCGUCGGCCCUCGGCCUGCCUUUGCCUUGGUCCUUCUCCAUUCUCAACCUUGGGCAGCGCUGGGUGACCCUGCGGGGUCAGGGCGGGAGUUGGCCCCUCUUGGGGACAGAGUGAUGGUGGCCAAGUGUGGUUGUCAUAGUAACGAGGCGGCUGCUGCCACUGCUGUUGGCUCAGGGGGCACCUGCCUGCCUGCAGGUUAUGAUCUGCCCUCUCCAGGCUGAGGCGCCAAGACCACUUGCCUUUGUUCCCAGCACUUUGCCUGGGAUGCUGGCAGCCAGACCUCAGCCCCACCCUGCAUGGCAGGAGCUCAGGGCUGUGUCGCAAUGUGACUAAUGGAUGAGAAGGUUGAGGAGGAAAGCCAUUACUUCACCAAUGUGAAUCAAGGUCAUUAGUCAUCUCGGGAAGCACGCGGAGCUGCGACGUUCAGGAGGGAGGCACGCUGCUCUGAGACAAGCCAUGGUGUGGCCUGGCACUGGUCCCACGCAGCAGGGAGAAGGGGAGCUUCUGGAAGUGAGGAUGAGCCGGGCUGCCAGGCCUAGGACCCUGGCCAUGUGUGCAUCAGCCCCUCCCAAGGAAAAGAGCCCAAGUUCUAUGUGGGGUCACGAGUAAGGCAAUGGUGCAGUUCCCAGGAAGUGUCGGCAGGAGCUGACUGGCCACCAUCUCUGGCGGCAGUCUCCUGGGGACGGUGACCGGAGGAUCAGCAGCCUCUGACCCCUGGUGUCACCUGAAGAAAUCAGGUCUAUCAUGAGCCACCAGAAUGUCCUCUGCCUAGUGUAGCAAGCCACACUUGCUGCCUUUCCGGGAGAGUUCGAAGCAAGCCACCUGGGUGGGUUCUUUUCAAAGUUCUCUGCCUCAGAGGAGGAAGCCCCAUGGGUGGAGGCCAGGCCUGAGGCCAUCCUGCUCUGGGCCAGAGAGUGCCUGUGUCUGAGGAGCGAGGACAUACCUCGUCUGGCUGAGCCUUCAUUUCACACCGGCAGCCUGAAUCCCCCAGCACGGCUUGCCUUUGGGCUCCCCACCCCAGGGGCCCGGCCCUGACAUGCGCUUGUCCUUCAUCCCUCAGGUCUGUGUCCCUUCCCCAGUCUUCAGGUUCUCCGAGGCCCUCCUUAUUCACAGAAUGCAACUAGCCUAUUUAUUUGCUUGCUUGCUUCUGAUGUCUUCUCUCACUGAAAGGUAAGUUAGGUGGGAGAUGGAAUCAGGCCAGCUUUGGUUCACCAUUACAUCCUCCACACCUUUGUUUUUUGAUGUGUUUUCUUAUUUUAGAGUUGGAGGCUUUCUCUUCACUGAGGCUGGAGGGCAGUGGCACAAUCAUAGCUCACUGCAGCCUCGAACUUCUGGACUUGAGUGAUCUUCCUGCUUCAGCCUCCUGAGUAACUAAGACUACAGGUGUGGAUCAUCACCAUGCUUGGCUAAUUAAAAAAAAUAGUUUUAAUAGAAAAGUUAGUUGUUUUAAUACAAAAGUUACGACACGUGGUAGUGUGAACCUGCAGUGCCAGCCACUGAGGAGGCUGAGGUGGGAGGACCACUUGAGCCCAGGAGAUUGAGUCUGCAGUGAGCUGAGAUUGCACCACUGCAUUCCAGCCUGGCAACAGAGUAAGAACCUGUCUCAAGAAAAAAAAUUUUUUUUUUGUAAACGUGGGGUCUCACUAUAUUGCUCAAGCUGGUCCUGAACUCUCAGGCUCAAGGGAUCGUUCUGCCUCAGCCUCCAGUGUCACUGGGAUUAGAGGUGUGAGCCACUGAGCCUGGUUCCCCUCAAAACUUUUUGUGGAGACUGGCACCAGGGAAACCCAAUAUCUAUCCUUUGAAUGAAUGAAUGAAUGAAUGAAAGGAAGUAAAUGAAGAGGAGGUGGGGGUUAGAAGAGGCACAUUUUAGAUGAGUAGAUACCAUACAAAGGCCCUCCCGGGUGCUAUCAUCACCAGUUCGGGGCAGCCCGUGAGCCCCCGGAGGGAGGUCUCCCUGACACCCUGCCAACUCAGCCUGGGGCCAAGCAAGAGCCACAUCCAAGGACUGGGUCAUUAUCUGAUGAAUGAGUGGGUUAUGCGGAUGAGUAAACAGGGCCUGACCCAGAGGUCAGGUGUAAUUCAGCCUCAGAAACUGCAUGUGUCAAUGGGAACCGAAGGCCCCAGGAAUGUGUUUUCUGUUGAUGUCAACUUGCUGCAAAAGACCACACCUGCUUCUCGGUCCAGGAACGUGGGAAAGGGAAAUGCAUGGUUUGUUUUGGUGGAGAUGGAGGAGCUGGUAACAGUGGAGGGAUGCCCUUCUUCUGAUUCAGAGUGGGGAGGUGCUCUGGGCCCCUGCCAUUGUCUGAUCGGUGUCCUGACCUGGCUGCACUGCUUCCGGGUGAAGCUUGUAGUUGGUUUAAUGCUGAAGGAGCUGUCAUUUGCCGAGGCUGGGAUGGGAUUCAGCUCUGCUCAUGAACUCUGCGGGCUCUCCAGAACUUUCUGAAAUCAGCCUCACCAUCCACAGCUGUGGUUACCAGGACCAUCAGCCUGAGGAGAAUCAGCUCUUCCACACUGAGACCUGAAGACCACAUGGCAGAGUGAACUGGAGCUGGGUACUAGCAGGCCUCUUAGGUGGGGCAUGCACCCCGCAGUGUCCCAUGUCCUCAUUGUUCCCUGUGGCCCAUGUCCCCAUUGUUCUCUGUGGCCAUAUUCAUUCCACUUGACUUACUUUUACCCUCUGUCCAGCUCCUCGUUGGCAUUUUCUUUUUCUUUUUGUUUCUUUUUGAGACGGAGUCUCGCUCUGUCACCCAGGCUGGAGUGCAGUGAC